CGAGUGGGGGAGGAGCAGAGAGCGAGGGAGACAGAAUCCGAAACAGGCUCCAGGCUCUGAGCUGUCAACACAGGGCCCAAUGAGGGGCCCGAUCUCGCAAACCUUGAGAUGGUUAUCUGAGCCAAAGUCCGACGCUUAACCAACGGAGCCACACUGGUGCCCCUGGAAUUGGUUAUAGUGCAUCGUUCCUGAUUCAAAGUCCCUGACAGAAGCAUCAGACUGUGCCCCAGCUUCCAGGUGUCAGGGAGGGAGCAACUAGCUAGCAUCCUUUCCCUGGAAUUUACACAACAGUAAAUUCUAUGAAUUUAAGAAGGGGCUUCAGAUGCCAGGCCGCCUGACACUGACAAAUAUCACACUUUCCUGUCUUCAUCUUACCCUAUUGCCCCCAAACUGGAGUCUUUCUCUCACUCCCCUUACCCAACCCAUCAACAGUUCUAUGAUAUAUCCUGAAACUGUGCACUUGCUUGUGUCACUGCUACACCCUAGACCCAAGCCACCAUCAUCUCUCAAUCUCUUACUGCUUGUUUCUUCUCUUUGCUAUCACUCUCCUCUCUCCACACUCACAAUCCAUCCUGUCCACAGAAGCCAAAGUCAUCUUUUAAAAAAAAGAUAAACUGCUAUAUAAUUUCUUCAGCCUCUUCUCUUCAGCCUGCAUUUCUUCAGUUCUCUUCUCUAGCAACACUGAGGACUUGAUUGCUGUCUUAGGAUCUUUGCACUUGCCAUUUUCUCUUUGUGGAGUGCUCCUCAUCCAUAUUUGACUUGAGUGGUUAUUUUUUUGUCAUUUCACUUGUCUGCUCAAAUGCCACUUCAGAGGCUGCCUCUGAAAACCCAAUCAGUAGCCUGCCUUGAAAACUGGGGGAGGAAGAAGGUAGAGAUUUGUCGCUUGGAACAAGUACCAAAUAGUUAUGGUACUAUUUGAUUAAACGAUGGACAGUUAUAACUUUAGAAAAUGUUCACCUUUAAACCAAAUUUAGGAAGAAAAACUAAAAAAGCAUAUCUGCACCCUUACAUAUCUAGUUCACUGCAUCUGCCUAAGAUUUAUAACAGAAGAUGUUCAGUUAAUUAUUAAUAAAUGAAUGAAUACAAAAAGAUUCUCAGAGAAUGGUUGCCCUUUUGUCAGGAAAAGAUGAAGGGCCAUGAGAUGCAAUGUGUAUGUAAUUAUUCAAAUAUUUACUGCUGAGUAGUAAUUGUGGUUAAGAAAGUUAUCUUUUUUUUUUUUAUGACUGUGUUUCUUGUGGAAGGAGGAACAGCCUUGGGAAAAUUAGUAACUUAAAAAUUUAGUGGGUUGAUAAAUUUUAGGCAAUAGUUUUUUUGUUAUUUUGUUUUUUUUUUUUUUUGCUGCAGAAUUGCAAUGUUUCAAUAGAAACAAUUGUUUAAAUAUUAUGUAUAUGAAAAAAGUGUUUCUCACCAUAAGGAAGGUUGGUCUCUGAGAGAGCUUUUGUUAAAAUGGGUCAUUUAUUUGUUUACAGAAAUCAUGAGCAAAAAAAAUCCUGAUUCAUUUUAGUGUGCACUUUUUGCUAGAACUGGAAAAACCUAUUUUCCAUUUUAGUAAAAGAAAAUGUUUUCAUAAAGUUGAAUGAACCCUAUAAAUAAGACUCUUAUUAGAAAGAAUAGCAGAGACAAUUUGGGGGGACAGAUACUACAUUUAAUGUUUUUUAUCUUUCUCAAUGUCAGGUGUUUGUUUUAAGCAAGUGAGAAAAAUUCCUACAUACUUCCCCUGGAUGGGGUUAACUUAAUCCUUAUCUGUUUGAUAAGGCCACUGGCAUGCUUUUAAGUCAUUUGAGUUAAUCUGGGUUUUUUGUUGUUGUUUUGCUUAACGGAGGUAUUUAUGAAGUGAAAACUUGGUGUUGGCCUCAACAUUCUACAUACUUCUUUGACUGGAAACUCCUCUAAGGAGAGUUUAAAAUUCCAACUUCAGAAAAAUACAAUGACCAUUAAAUUCAGAAAAGGGAAAGUGCCUCACAUUCAAGACAUUUUUGUGAAAGUUAGGAGAGACUGCAAGCCUGCAGCUCACUUUUUCUCAUAGCUGCAGAUACUGAACAGUGACCCCUUGUUCUUGACCUUUGUUCAAGAAAAGGGCUGCAGGUUGCCAACAUUUGCAGUCUCUUUUUGACUAACUUUCCCCUGCCCUGUAGCCAUUGUAAUGCUCACGUUUUAACCUAAGGGCAAAUUUGAAUCAUUAGGUAAGUGACAACAGCUUGUCUAAACUGGUAGAUAAGAAAUGUCAAAGCAUAAGGUGCCAUCUGUCCCAGGUUAUGGAUCUAUGUUUGAUCUGUACUCAGUGUCAAAACUCACCUGUAAAGUCAACCAAACGAUAAAGGAAGGCAUGUUAGUAUCUUUUUCCAUUGACAUCAUUCGUUAUGAACGUUUUCAAAUGUAAAGAAAAGUUGAAAAUUAUGCAGUGAAUGCCCAUGUAUCUACCAGCUAGAUUCUAUAAUUGUAAGCCUUUUGUUAUAUUAGUUUGAUCAUAUAUCCAUCUAUCCACCAUUAUCUGUCUUAAUUUUUGGUACGUUUUAAUGUAAGUCACAGACUUCAGUUUACUUCACUGUAAGUGUCAUUUUGGAAGCCAAAAAAAAAAAAAAUUGGAGAUGAACUUGUGUGAUUAUAAUUAACUCCUAAAAGAGUCACAAAAUAUGUGAAUUUACCACAAAACCUAGAUUUCAUCAUGGUUAGAGAGAUCUAACAUGGCUAUUAAUAGCCUCUAAAUUAAUGUAUAUUUUGGGUAUCUUUUGAUCUUUUCCAUAUGACUUUUAGCUAUCACAGACUACUAUCAUUCACAGACAACCUUCAGAAUUUCUAUCAUAUUCAAGUACCAUGUGUAAUAUUUUCUUAUUCUAAAAAAUUUUAUUUUCAGUUAAAUUUAUUUUUAGAGUACAACUUCAUAUUGCUACCAUAAAUGGAAAACCAGUAUGAUUUGUCAUAAACAAGUUGGCCAUAUUUUUUUUUUCUAUACACAAAAAUAAGUUCAUAUUGUAUACCUUGGCUUGCAUACUAAGGGAAAUACCAAGUUAUAGCCCCCAUCCUUCCCCCUUUCCUUUCACAAAUAUUGGGGCACAAGAAAAGUCAAAUCUGCAUUGGAGGUUAGACACACAGAUGAUAUUAGGCUGUUCUCUUUUUAAGGGACAAAAACACUACAUCCAGACUUGCCUAAGUCUCAUCUUGAGCUAAUGGCGAGAGAAAGCAGGGUGAGGAAGGGUCUGUCUGAAGCCCAUCUGAGAUUGUGUCCCAAGUGGAACACAUUCCUCAUGAGCCCUGUGUUUGUCAACCCCAGCUGUUCUGCAGACCCCACACUGGCAGGAACAGAGCCAAAGCCUAAUCCUUGCAGCUUGAGGUUUGGGGACCUAUCAGAACCAUGGCUCUGGCCGUAUUUUCUUUUUCAUUUUGUUUCUUCUUAUUGUUUUAACCCUCUCCUACCAACCUAUCUUCCCCAACCCCCCUCUAUGUUAACAUAGGUGUGGUAGGAGACCAACAACAUACCUAUUUUUCCUUCCUGAAAUUAGAACCAAGACCUAGGAGCCAGACAUAUGGAGAUCAAAAUACCAGAUUUACCACAGAUGAAGUGACCAAAUGUCACAGGAUGAACUUUGGGACCCUUUGUCAAAUGGAACGGGAAAUAGAAGUGUGUAUUGGCAGCCAAAACCAACAUGCAAGGAUUUUCCAGGAGGUUAACUUCUCAGCUUGAGCCCCAGUGUGAACUGAAGAGCCCUUGGAGAGAACUCAUCCCAGAAAAGGGGGAGACAGCACAGUGCAUUGGCCUGAGUUCCAAAGCCUCGGAGUCCGAGAAAGUUAAACGAACCUCCAGAAGGUUGUGUGGGGUCUUUUCAUCUGCCUGGCACUGCUUAGUCCAUUUGCAGACACACAUGCCCCUGAGCUCCAGAAGUGGCCCUGAGUCUGCACCAGAACAGGAUAUUUUUCCCUCACAGCAUCUGCCCCAUGUUUCUCCAUCAGGAUGUUUGUCUAUAUGCUUACAAUUACUCAGGUGAGUCUUUGCACACUUCUUUUAAAACUAUUUAUAGUUCAAGUAAAUCCUACCACAGAAAAUUCCUAACCCUCUCUUUCUAAUUUCUAAUCCCUAA
Long non-coding RNA from Neofelis nebulosa (Clouded leopard), 4076 nucleotides. RefSeq lists it as uncharacterized. The record is from RefSeq and is a predicted model, not a curated record. The transcript has 4 exons. NCBI's taxonomy places the organism in Eukaryota, Metazoa, Chordata, Mammalia, Carnivora, Felidae.